RNAcentral lists this non-coding RNA (253 nucleotides) under uncultured bacterium. RNAcentral describes it as "partial 16S ribosomal RNA". It matches the Rfam family "Bacterial small subunit ribosomal RNA", at positions 524 to 776 of the family's 1533-position model. RNAcentral also lists the same sequence under 2 other names. The record is from RNAcentral.
UACGUAGGUGGCAAGCGUUGUCCGGAUUUAUUGGGCGUAAAGCGAGCGCAGGCGGAAUGAUAAGUCUGAUGUGAAAGCCCACGGCUCAACCGUGGAACUGCAUCGGAAACUGUCAUUCUUGAGUGCAGAAGAGGAGAGUGGAACUCCAUGUGUAGCGGUGGAAUGCGUAGAUAUAUGGAAGAACACCAGUGGCGAAGGCGGCUCUCUGGUCUGCAACUGACGCUGAGGCUCGAAAGCAUGGGUAGCGAACAGG